CCUACGGGUGGCAGCAGUGAGGAAUAUUGGUCAAUGGACGAGAGUCUGAACCAGCCAAGUAGCGUGAAGGAUGACUGCCCUAUGGGUUGUAAACUUCUUUUAUAAAGGAAUAAAACGAGGCACAUGUCCCUUUUGGCACGUACCUUAUGAAUAAGGAUCGGCUAACUCCGCGCCAGCAGCCGCGGUAAUACGGAGGAUGAGAGCGUUAUCCGUUUUUAUGGGGUUGAAAGGGUGCGCAGUCGGAAUGUCAAGUCAGCGGUAAAAUUUCGGGGCUAAACCCCGUCGUGCAGUUGAAACUGGCGUUCUUGAGUGAGCGAGAAGUAUGCGGAAUGCGUGGUGUAGCGGUGAAAUGCAUAGAUAUCACGCAGAACUCCGAUUGCGAAGGCAGCAUACCGGCGCUCAACUGACGCUCAUGCACGAAAGCGUGGGUAUCGAACAGGAUUAGAUACCCCAGUAGUC
RNAcentral lists this ribosomal RNA (459 nucleotides) under uncultured bacterium. Its description in RNAcentral is "partial 16S ribosomal RNA". It matches the Rfam family "Bacterial small subunit ribosomal RNA", at positions 338 to 795 of the family's 1533-position model. The record is from RNAcentral.